Molecule: ribosomal RNA, 467 nt
Filed under: uncultured bacterium
Lineage: Bacteria
Description: bacterial SSU rRNA
Rfam family: Bacterial small subunit ribosomal RNA
Source: RNAcentral
GAUGAACGCUAGCGGCAGGCUUAACACAUGCAAGUCGAGGGGUAUGCCGAUUUAUCGGCAGAGACCGGCGCACGGGUGCGUAACGCGUAUGCAAUCUACCUUUUGCAGAGGAUAGCCCAGAGAAAUUUGGAUUAAUACCUCAUAGUAUAGCAGUUUCGCAUGAAACCACUAUUAAAGUCACAACGGCAAAAGAUGAGCAUGCGUCCCAUUAGCUUGUUGGUAAGGUAACGGCUUACCAAGGCAACGAUGGGUAGGGGUCCUGAGAGGGAGAUCCCCCCACACUGGUACUGAGACACGGACCAGACUCCUACGGGAGGCAGCAGUGAGGAAUAUUGGACAAUGGGCGCAAGCCUGAUCCAGCCAUGCCGCGUGCAGGAUGACGGUCCUAUGGAUUGUAAACUGCUUUUGUACAGGAAGAAACACUGGUUCGUGAACCGGCUUGACGGUACUGUAAGAAUAAGGAUCGG